RNAcentral lists this ribosomal RNA (273 nucleotides) under Klebsiella pneumoniae. Its description in RNAcentral is "partial 16S ribosomal RNA". It matches the Rfam family "Bacterial small subunit ribosomal RNA", at positions 648 to 927 of the family's 1533-position model. Lineage: Bacteria; Pseudomonadati; Pseudomonadota; Gammaproteobacteria; Enterobacterales; Enterobacteriaceae. The record is from RNAcentral.
UUGAACGGGCUCAUGCUAUCUGGUUUGUAGCGGUGAAAUGCGUAGAUAUAUGGAAGAACACCUGUGGCGAAAGCGGCUUACUGGCUUGUUAUUGACGCUGAGGCACGAAAGCGUGGGGAGCAAAUAGGAUUAGAUACCCUAGUAGUCCACGCCGUAAACGAUGAGUACUAGGUGUUGGGGUUAUCUCAGCGCCGCAGCUAACGCAUUAAGUACUCCGCCUGAGUGGUAUGCUCGCAAGAGUGAAACUCAAAGGAAUUGACGGGGACCCGGACA